RNAcentral lists this ribosomal RNA (987 nucleotides) under human gut metagenome. RNAcentral's name for it is "bacterial LSU rRNA". It matches the Rfam family "Bacterial large subunit ribosomal RNA", at positions 1938 to 2925 of the family's 2925-position model. The record is from RNAcentral.
AACUAUAACGGUCCUAAGGUAGCGAAAUUCCUUGUCAGGUAAGUUCUGACCCGCAUGAAAGGCGUAAUGAUUUGGGCACUGUCUCAACAGCCCGCCCGGCGAAAUUGUAGUACCGGUGAAGAUGCCGGUUACCCGCGACAAGACGGAAAGACCCCAUGGAGCUUUACUGUAGCCUAAUAUUGGGUUUCGAUGUUGCAUGCACAGGAUAGAUGGGACACUGGGAAGCAAGUGCUUUGGCAUUUGUGGAGUGGCCGUUGGGAUACCAUCCUUGCGAUAUUGGAAUUCUAACCUGCGCCUUUGAAUCAAGGCGGGGGACAUUGUUAGGUGGGCAGUUUGACUGGGGCGGUCGCCUCCUAAAGAGUAACGGAGGCGUUCAAAGGUUCGCUCAGCUUGAACGGAAAUCAAGCAAAAGAGUGCAAACGCAGAAGCGAGCCUAACUGCGAGACUGACGGGUCGAGCAGUAACGAAAGUUGGAGUUAGUGAUCCGGUGGUAUGUGAGUGGAAAUGCCAUCGCUCAACGGAUAAAAGUUACCCUGGGGAUAACAGGCUGAUCUCCCCCAAGAGUCCACAUCGACGGGGAGGUUUGGCACCUCGAUGUCGGCUCAUCGCAUCCUGGGGCUGAAUUCGGUCCCAAGGGUUUGGCUGUUCGCCAAUUAAAGCGGUACGCGAGCUGGGUUCAGAACGUCGUGAGACAGUUCGGUCCCUAUCUGUCGUGGGCGUAGGAUAUUUGAAAGGAGCUGUCCCUAGUACGAGAGGACCGGGAUGGACGCACCUCUGGUGCACCAGUUGUCACGCCAGUGGCACAGCUGGGCAGCUAUGUGCGGAACGGAUAAACGCUGAAAGCAUCUAAGCGUGAAGCCGACCUUAAGAUAAGAUAUCCCAUCGUAAGAGUAAGACCCCUUAAAGACUAUGAGGUUGAUAGGCUUGAAGUGUACGCAUAGUGAUAUGUUUAGCUUGCAAGUACUAAUCGGUCGAGGGCUUUUCCUU